RNAcentral lists this ribosomal RNA (444 nucleotides) under uncultured bacterium. Its description in RNAcentral is "bacterial SSU rRNA". It matches the Rfam family "Bacterial small subunit ribosomal RNA", at positions 335 to 796 of the family's 1533-position model. The record is from RNAcentral.
ACUCCUACGGGAGGCAGCAGUGGGGGAUAUUGCACAAUGGAGGGAACUCUGAUGCAGCAAUGCCGCGUGAAGGAAGAAGGUUUUCGGAUUGUAAACUUCUAUCAGCAGGGAAGAAAAUGACGGUACCUGACUAAGAAGCCCCGGCUAACUAUGUGCCAGCAGCCGCGGUAAUACAUAGGGGGCAAGCGUUAUCCGGAAUGACUGGGUGUAAAGGGUGCGUAGGCGGUAAGGUAAGUCUGAUGUGAAAGACUGGGGCUCAACUCCAGGGGUGCAUUGGAAACUAUGUUACUAGAGUACAGGAGAGGGAAGCGGAAUUCCUAGUGUAGCGGUGAAAUGCGUAGAUAUUAGGAGGAACACCGGUGGCGAAGGCGGCUUUCUGGACUGAAACUGACGCUGAGGCACGAAAGCGUGGGGAGCAAACAGGAUUAGAUACCCUUGUAGUCC